AAAUAACAGAAGUAUUUUGCAUUUAACUUUCAUUAUAAUUCGCAGGUAAUGAUUUACUGUUUAACAUUUUUAAUUAUUUAUAGUCAGUUAGAUAAUUAAAUUAAUAACACGGAAGCUAGAGCUAAUACAUGUAGCAGAGCUCCGACCAUCUGGGGACGAGCGCUUUUAUUACACCACCAAUCGGACCUCGUGUCCGUAUUAUGUGGUGACUCUGUAUAACUUUGGGUUGAUAGCAAGGGCUCGUCCCAGCGACGUGUCUUUCAGGUGUCUGCCUUAUUACCCGUCGAUAGUAGGUUACGCGCCUACCAUGGUCAUAACGGGUGCCGGGGAAUCAGGGUUCGAUUCCGGAGAGAGAGCCUGAGAAACGGCUACCACAUCCAAGGAAGGCAGCAGACGCGCAAGUUACCCACUCCCAGAACGGGGAGGUAGUGACGAAAAAUAACAAUACGGGACUCUUUUUCAGACCCCAUGAACGGAAGAAGCACACUCUAAAUCCUUUAACGAAGAUCGGUUAGAAGGCAAGUCUGGUGCCGGCAGCCGUGGUAAUUUCAGCAAA
RNAcentral lists this non-coding RNA (556 nucleotides) under Stegodyphus mimosarum. RNAcentral's name for it is "eukaryotic small subunit ribosomal RNA". It matches the Rfam family "Eukaryotic small subunit ribosomal RNA", at positions 62 to 594 of the family's 1831-position model. Lineage: Eukaryota; Metazoa; Arthropoda; Arachnida; Araneae; Eresidae. The record is from Rfam by way of RNAcentral.